UACGUAGGGUGCGAGCGUUAAUCGGAGUUACUGGGCGUAAAGCGUGCGCAGGCGGUAAGUUAAGUCUGAUGUGAAAGCCCCGGGCUCAACCUGGGAAUGGCAUUGGAAACUGGCUUGCUAGAGUGUGGCAGAGGGGGGUGGAAUUCCGCGUGUAGCAGUGAAAUGCGUAGAGAUGCGGAGGAACACCGAUGGCGAAGGCAGCCCCCUGGGCCAACACUGACGCUCAGGCACGAAAGCGUGGGGAGCAAACAGG
Molecule: ribosomal RNA, 253 nt
Filed under: uncultured bacterium
Lineage: Bacteria
Description: partial 16S ribosomal RNA
Rfam family: Bacterial small subunit ribosomal RNA
Source: RNAcentral